Molecule: non-coding RNA, 45 nt
Organism: Schistosoma margrebowiei
Lineage: Eukaryota; Metazoa; Platyhelminthes; Trematoda; Strigeidida; Schistosomatidae
Source: Rfam
AUCCAGCUGAAGAGUCACAAAUAGAAUGAAAUGCGCAUCUCGGAU